This is a long non-coding RNA of Mus musculus (house mouse), 1157 nucleotides long. RefSeq annotates it as predicted gene, 51697. The transcript is spliced from 2 exons. Lineage: Eukaryota; Metazoa; Chordata; Mammalia; Rodentia; Muridae. The record is from RefSeq and is a predicted model, not a curated record.
UUGGCUAGGAUGGGAGAAGCCACCAUUUUGAGUCAGAGCAAGUUGCCCACCACUGUGGAAAGAGAAGUUUUUUCUCCACUCUGCCUGCCCGCCCAGUCCUCUGCAGCUCUGAGGAGCAGAAGUCCUGAUCUCCCGGAUAGCCACACACUGGUCAGCAACCCUGGGGCUGGCUCCCUGAAGCACGACUGUCUGUCUGUCUGUCUGCUGUUCCAUCAGUCUCCCAGCCAUUGGCUCUGUGACUGUUGGGCCCUCACCAGUCUCACUGGGCUCGUAGCGCUCAAUGAGAGAGAGGGCCAAGGCUGGCCCCGCCUCCUCCUCCCGCUGCUGAUGCUGCAGGAACGUCACUAGCUUCUCCACCGACAGGGUCUCCGCAGAACCUGCGGCCUCUGCAAAGGCACGGUCGAUCUCUGCCCGCUGGGUCAGCAUCCUGUAGAAGGUCUCAAUCUCCUCAUCCUCCAGCGAGUCUGUCUGGGAGUGGUCACAUUCCUGCAAACCCAGCACAGCCCAUGGGCAGGGCUCAGAGCUGGCCUCGGGCCAGGCCCACGGCCCUAUAGCCACACCGAGCCAAGCUCACCCUGAAGAUCUUCCUGGCGUAGCUGUCAUCCACCUGUACGUUGAGCUCCUUCAGGAAGUCCUUCACCUCCUUGAAGUUCAUCUUGUUAUCCUUGUUUUUAUCAGCCUUUCGCAAGCAGGAGUGAAUCCAGCUGGGCGAGCAGUCAGGAAAACACACAGCAGCCCGAUGCCCACCAAGAUCCCAGCCACGGGAAGUCGCGGUUGCCCGUGGUCACGUGACCACAAAGCAGGGGCCGAGGACCGGGAGGCCUUCCUUACUAUGGAUGGGUCUUUCCCCUCCUUUCCCUUGCUUUUCUUGCUUGUUGGUUUGUUUGUUUGUUUGGUGCUAGGGACCGAGCAGGGUCCCGCACUCUACUGCAGCCCUGCAUUUACUUUGUAUUUUAAGUCAAAUGACCUACACCAACCCGUAAACUUGCUCCAUAGUCCCGUUAGGCCUUGAAAUGGUGAUCCCUCUGUCUCAUCUUCUCGAGUAGCUAGGAUUACAGGAUUGCACCAUCAGACCCAGCUAAGGGACUUUUUUCUGUUUGUUCAUUAUGAAACCUGAUGAUGUUUGAAAAUAUUUACUAUAAAAAAGGUUCACUGAG